This is a non-coding RNA of Misgurnus anguillicaudatus (oriental weatherfish), 959 nucleotides long. The record is from RefSeq and is a predicted model, not a curated record. NCBI's taxonomy places the organism in Eukaryota, Metazoa, Chordata, Actinopteri, Cypriniformes, Cobitidae.
CUGGCAGAUUUAUUAAGAAAUAAUGGGCCAGAUACUAUUGUGACACGAGACAUCAAUAACUCUCAAGGUUGGACUUUGUGUUAUGUUUGAUGUUAGUCUCCAGGCAUGUAAUUGUAUUCAGAGCAGGUUAUGCCUCCUGUUAAGUAGACAGGCUAUUAAGUACUAUAUGCUGAUUGGUCAGGAGCCCCGCCUCCCCACAGCGCUACGGCAACAGUGAGUUACAGCUCAUUGGGCUCUACUCUGUAUUCAAGGGACACCACAAGCUUACAUCCAACAAUCAAGAGCCAUUAUUUCUCAUUUAACAAUAACCCAACAAUUUCUUGCUCAUGCUGUCAUGGUAUUUAUAGUAAGUUUGAAGUUUUUCUUUCUUAAAGCACAGCACCAUCCCGAUCCAUGACCUCAUUGCUACUGGCAGAUGGUUUCUGCUAAAGCAAAGGCACAUUACUGAGAAGAGCCUGACUCAGCAUAAUAGCUGAGAUACAACAACAUCUUUGAAUGCUCACAACUAAUAUUUAAUGUAGAAGAUACAUCAGUUGACCACAAGUGUCUAAAUUAAACACAGAGCAGCUAAGGAGUGUGAUCUGGAUUUUAAGGAUCAUGGUUUAAUGCUUAUGGGCUGUAUGUGGUCCCUAUCACAUUGACAGCAGUUUGACUGGUGUGCUGUGUCAAGCGUCAGUGCUCUCAGACAGAUGGCCAUGCGCUUAUUGGUGGUGAACCGUAACCCGGAGACCGUCAGCACGGACUUUGAUGAGCGUGACCGUCUGUACAUCGAGGAUUUAACCCUAGAGCGCAUCCUGGACAUCACACAGCAGGAGAAGACAUAACCCCUCAUUGUAUGGAUAGUGGAUGGAUGCUUCAAAAACUUUGUCACUAUGUAUUGUAUUACAAAUGUAGAAAGAGCUAUUUUUCAAUAAUUUCAACUGUGUUUGGCUGAAGAAAGAAAGGCACACAGCAAACAC